UUUAAUUGAAGAGUUUGAUCAUGGCUCAGAUUGAACGCUGGCGGCAGGCCUAACACAUGCAAGUCGAGCGGCAGCGACU
RNAcentral lists this ribosomal RNA (79 nucleotides) under Photobacterium damselae. RNAcentral's name for it is "partial 16S ribosomal RNA". It matches the Rfam family "Bacterial small subunit ribosomal RNA", at positions 1 to 77 of the family's 1533-position model. The record is from RNAcentral. Lineage: Bacteria; Pseudomonadati; Pseudomonadota; Gammaproteobacteria; Vibrionales; Vibrionaceae.